GGGUUGUGAGGUUAAGCGACUAAGCGUACACGGUGGAUGCCCUGGCAGUCAGAGGCGAUGAAGGACGUGCUAAUCUGCGAAAAGCGUCGGUAAGGUGAUAUGAACCGUUAUAACCGGCGAUGUCCGAAUGGGGAAACCCAGUGUGAUUCGUCACACUAUCGUUAACUGAAUACAUAGGUUAACGAGGCGAACCGGGGGAACUGAAACAUCUAAGUACCCCGAGGAAAAGAAAUCAACCGAGAUUCCCCCAGUAGCGGCGAGCGAACGGGGAGCAGCCCAGAGUCUGAAUCAGCUUGUGUGUUAGUGGAACGGUCUGGAAAGUCCGACGGUACAGGGUGAUAGUCCCGUACACCAAAAUGCACAGGUUGUGAACUCGAAGAGUAGGGCGGGACACGUGGUAUCCUGUCUGAAUAUGGGGGGACCAUCCUCCAAGGCUAAAUACUCCUGACUGACCGAUAGUGAACCAGUACCGUGAGGGAAAGGCGAAAAGAACCCCGGCGAGGGGAGUGAAAAAGAACCUGAAACCGUGUACGUACAAGCAGUGGGAGCACCUUCGGGUGUGACUGCGUACCUUUUGUAUAAUGGGUCAGCGACUUAUAUUCUGUAGCAAGGUUAACCGUAUAGGGGAGCCGCAGGGAAACCGAGUCUUAACUGGGCGUUAAGUUGCAGGGUAUAGACCCGAAACCCGGUGAUCUAGCCAUGGGCAGGUUGAAGGUUGGGUAACACUAACUGGAGGACCGAACCGACUAAUGUUGAAAAAUUAGCGGAUGACUUGUGGCUGGGGGUGAAAGGCCAAUCAAACCGGGAGAUAGCUGGUUCUCCCCGAAAGCUAUUUAGGUAGCGCCUCGUGAAUUCAUCUUCGGGGGUAGAGCACUGUUUCGGCUAGGGGGUCAUCCCGACUUACCAACCCGAUGCAAACUACGAAUACCGAAGAAUGUUAUCACGGGAGACACACGGCGGGUGCUAACGUCCGUCGUGAAGAGGGAAACAACCCAGACCGCCAGCUAAGGUCCCAAAGUCAUGGUUAAGUGGGAAACGAUGUGGGAAGGCACAGACAGCCAGGAUGUUGGCUUAGAAGCAGCCAUCAUUUAAAGAAAGCGUAAUAGCUCACUGGUCGAGUCGGCCUGCGCGGAAGAUGUAACGGGGCUAAACCAUGCACCGAAGCUGCGGCAGCGACACUAUGUGUUGUUGGGUAGGGGAGCGUUCUGUAAGCCUGCGAAGGUGACCUGUGAGGGUUGCUGGAGGUAUCAGAAGUGCGAAUGCUGACAUAAGUAACGAUAAAGCGGGUGAAAAGCCCGCUCGCCGGAAGACCAAGGGUUCCUGUCCAACGUUAAUCGGGGCAGGGUGAGUCGACCCCUAAGGCGAGGCCGAAAGGCGUAGUCGAUGGGAAACAGGUUAAUAUUCCUGUACUUGGUGUUACUGCGAAGGGGGGACGGAGAAGGCUAUGUUAGCCGGGCGACGGUUGUCCCGGUUUAAGCAUGUAGGCUGGUUAUCCAGGCAAAUCCGGAUAAUCAAGGCUGAGGUGUGAUGACGAGGCACUACGGUGCUGAAGUAACAAAUGCCCUGCUUCCAGGAAAAGCCUCUAAGCAUCAGGUAACAUCAAAUCGUACCCCAAACCGACACAGGUGGUCAGGUAGAGAAUACCAAGGCGCUUGAGAGAACUCGGGUGAAGGAACUAGGCAAAAUGGUGCCGUAACUUCGGGAGAAGGCACGCUGGUGUGUAGGUGAAGUCCCUGCGGAUGGAGCUGAGACCAGUCGAAGAUACCAGCUGGCUGCAACUGUUUAUUAAAAACACAGCACUGUGCAAACACGAAAGUGGACGUAUACGGUGUGACGCCUGCCCGGUGCCGGAAGGUUAAUUGAUGGGGUUAUCCGUAAGGAGAAGCUCUUGAUCGAAGCCCCGGUAAACGGCGGCCGUAACUAUAACGGUCCUAAGGUAGCGAAAUUCCUUGUCGGGUAAGUUCCGACCUGCACGAAUGGCGUAAUGAUGGCCAGGCUGUCUCCACCCGAGACUCAGUGAAAUUGAACUCGCUGUGAAGAUGCAGUGUACCCGCGGCAAGACGGAAAGACCCCGUGAACCUUUACUAUAGCUUGACACUGAACAUUGAGCCUUGAUGUGUAGGAUAGGUGGGAGGCUUUGAAGCGUGGACGCCAGUCUGCGUGGAGCCAACCUUGAAAUACCACCCUUUAAUGUUUGAUGUUCUAACGUUGGCCCCUUACCGGGGUUGCGGACAGUGUCUGGUGGGUAGUUUGACUGGGGCGGUCUCCUCCCAAAGCGUAACGGAGGAGCACGAAGGUUAGCUAAUCCUGGUCGGACAUCAGGAGGUUAGUGCAAUGGCAUAAGCUAGCUUGACUGCGAGCGUGACGGCGCGAGCAGGUGCGAAAGCAGGUCAUAGUGAUCCGGUGGUUCUGAAUGGAAGGGCCAUCGCUCAACGGAUAAAAGGUACUCCGGGGAUAACAGGCUGAUACCGCCCAAGAGUUCAUAUCGACGGCGGUGUUUGGCACCUCGAUGUCGGCUCAUCACAUCCUGGGGCUGAAGUAGGUCCCAAGGGUAUGGCUGUUCGCCAUUUAAAGUGGUACGCGAGCUGGGUUUAGAACGUCGUGAGACAGUUCGGUCCCUAUCUGCCGUGGGCGCUGGAGAAUUGAGGGGGGCUGCUCCUAGUACGAGAGGACCGGAGUGGACGCAUCACUGGUGUUCGGGUUGUCAUGCCAAUGGCACUGCCCGGUAGCUAAAUGCGGAAGAGAUAAGUGCUGAAAGCAUCUAAGCACGAAACUUGCCCCGAGAUGAGUUCUCCCUGAGACUUUAAGUCUCCUGAAGGAACGUUAAAGACGAUGACGUUGAUAGGCCGGGUGUGUAAGCGCAGCGAUGCGUUGAGCUAACCGGUACUAAUGAACCGUGAGGCUUAACCUUACAACGCCGAAG
RNAcentral lists this ribosomal RNA (2923 nucleotides) under Klebsiella pneumoniae. RNAcentral's name for it is "23S ribosomal RNA". It matches the Rfam family "Bacterial large subunit ribosomal RNA". Lineage: Bacteria; Pseudomonadati; Pseudomonadota; Gammaproteobacteria; Enterobacterales; Enterobacteriaceae. The record is from RNAcentral.